UUGAAUAAAUCUAAAGUUUUAGAAUUUAAUUUCGACUUAAAUAUAUAGUUAAAGUAACUUAUUCAAG
This 67-nucleotide transfer RNA is filed under the name Leptopilina syphax. RNAcentral describes it as "tRNA-Arg". Lineage: Eukaryota; Metazoa; Arthropoda; Insecta; Hymenoptera; Figitidae. The record is from RNAcentral.